GUUACGGUAGCCAAGUCUGGCCCAAGGCGCAGGGUUGCUAACUCUGUGGCGUCACUGCCUCCGGGGUUCGAAUCCCCGCCGUAACG
This 86-nucleotide transfer RNA is filed under the name Halorubrum sp. JWXQ-INN 858. It matches the Rfam family "tRNA". From Rfam's summary of the family: Transfer RNA (tRNA) molecules are approximately 80 nucleotides in length. Their secondary structure includes four short double-helical elements and three loops (D, anti-codon, and T loops). Further hydrogen bonds mediate the characteristic L-shaped molecular structure. tRNAs have two regions of fundamental functional importance: the anti-codon, which is responsible for specific mRNA codon recognition, and the 3' end, to which the tRNAs corresponding amino acid is attached (by aminoacyl-tRNA synthetases). tRNAs cope with the degeneracy of the genetic code in two manners: having more than one tRNA (with a specific anti-codon) for a particular amino acid; and 'wobble' base-pairing, i.e. permitting non-standard base-pairing at the 3rd anti-codon position. Lineage: Archaea; Methanobacteriati; Methanobacteriota; Halobacteria; Halobacteriales; Haloferacaceae. The record is from Rfam by way of RNAcentral.